GCGUAUAUUAAACUUGUUGCAGUUAAAAAGCUCGUAGUUGAAUUUUAGCGUGUUCGAGUUUGCCAUUCGUUUGGCUUUUUCGAGUUCGCUUUUGGGUUUUCCCUUUUUACUUUGAGAAAAUUAGAGUGUUUCAAGCAGACUUUUGUCUUGAAUACUUCAGCAUGGAAUAAUAGAGUAGGACUUUGGUUCUAUUUUGUUGGUUAUUGAACCUUAGUAAUGGUUAAUAGGAACGGUUGGGGGCAUUCGUAUUUAACUGUCAGAGGUGAAAUUCUUAGAUUUGUUAAAGACAAACUACUGCGAAAGA
This 304-nucleotide ribosomal RNA is filed under the name Babesia vogeli. RNAcentral's name for it is "SSU rRNA". It matches the Rfam family "Eukaryotic small subunit ribosomal RNA", at positions 597 to 952 of the family's 1831-position model. The record is from RNAcentral. Lineage: Eukaryota; Apicomplexa; Aconoidasida; Piroplasmida; Babesiidae.